Molecule: ribosomal RNA, 301 nt
Filed under: uncultured bacterium
Lineage: Bacteria
Description: partial 16S ribosomal RNA
Rfam family: Bacterial small subunit ribosomal RNA
Source: RNAcentral
CAGUCGCCACGGUAAUACGGAGGGUGCAAGCGUUGUCCGGAUUUAUUGGGUUUAAAGGGUGCGUAGGCGGCCUAAUAAGUCAGUGGUGAAAGCCUCCAGCUUAACUGGAGAACUGCCAUUGAUACUGUUAGGCUUGAGUAUACUUGAGGUAGGCGGAAUUGACAGUGUGGCGGUGAAAUGCAUAGAUAUUGUCAAGAACACCAAUUGCGAAGGCAGCUUACUAAAUUAUAACUGACGCUGAGGCACGAAAGUGUGGGUAUCAAACAGGAUUAGAUACCCGCGUAGUCCCUGUCUCUUAUAC